Molecule: ribosomal RNA, 446 nt
Filed under: uncultured bacterium
Lineage: Bacteria
Description: bacterial SSU rRNA
Rfam family: Bacterial small subunit ribosomal RNA
Source: RNAcentral
AUUGAACGCUGGCGGUAGGCCUAACACAUGCAAGUCGAGCGAUCUCUUCGGAGAUAGCGGCGGACGGGUGAGUAACGCGUGGGAACAUACCCAGAGGUACGGAACAACAGUUGGAAACGACUGCUAAUACCGUAUACGCCCUACGGGGAAGAAUUUCGCCUUUGGAUUGGCCCGCGUUGGAUUAGAUAGUUGGUGGGGUAAUGGCCUACCAAGUCGACGAUCCAUAGCUGGUUUGAGAGGAUGAUCAGCCACACUGGGACUGAGACACGGCCCAGACUCCUACGGGAGGCAGCAGUGGGGAAUCUUAGACAAUGGGGGAAACCCUGAUCUAGCCAUACCGCGUGAGUGAUGAAGGCCUUAGGGUCGUAAACGCUCUUUCGCCAGGGAUGAUAAUGACGAGUACCUGGUAAAGAAGUCCCGGGCUAACUCCGUGCCAGCCGCGGUAA